UACGGAGGGUGCGAGCGUUGUCCGGAAUCACUGGGCGUAACGGGCGCGUAGGCGGUUUGUUAAGUUGGAUGUGAACACUGUGGGCUCAACCCAUAGCCUGCAUCCAAUACUGACAGGCUAGAGUUCUGGAGGGGAUAGCGGAAUUCCUGGUGUAGCGGUGAAAUGCGUAGAUAUCAGGAGGAACCCCGGUGGCGAAGGCGGCUAUCUGGACAGAGGCUGACGCUGAGGCGCGAAAGCUAGGGGAGCAAACAGG
RNAcentral lists this ribosomal RNA (253 nucleotides) under uncultured bacterium. Its description in RNAcentral is "partial 16S ribosomal RNA". It matches the Rfam family "Bacterial small subunit ribosomal RNA", at positions 524 to 776 of the family's 1533-position model. The record is from RNAcentral.